AACGCAUCUUGCGCUCCUUGGUAUUCCAUGGAGCAUGCCUGUUUGAGUGUCACGUAAACCCUCACCCUUGUGAUGUAACAGUCGCACGUGGUGGACUUGGACCGUGCCGUAGUUGGCUCGUCCUGAAAUGCAUUAGCUGGUGCUUUUAGAGUGCUGGGCGACGGUGUGAUAAUUAUCUGCGCCAUUAGCCCUGGGCCUCUUCAGCGGCGCCGCUUACAGUCGUCCCUUUCGGACAACGUGUCUUUAAAGCUUUGGCCUCAAAUCAGGUAGGACUACCCGCUGAACUUAA
Molecule: unclassified non-coding RNA, 289 nt
Filed under: uncultured fungus
Lineage: Eukaryota; Fungi
Description: partial contains 5.8S ribosomal RNA, internal transcribed spacer 2, and large subunit ribosomal RNA
Rfam family: 5.8S ribosomal RNA (bases 1-52)
Source: RNAcentral